ACCAGACUCCUACGGGAGGCAGCAGUGAGGAAUAUUGGUCAAUGGCCGAGAGGCUGAACCAGCCAAGUCGCGUGAGGGAUGAAGGCCCUACGGGUUGUAAACCUCUUUUGUCGGGGAGCAAAGAGAGUCACGUGUGGCUCAUUGAGAGUACCCGAAGAAAAAGCAUCGGCUAACUCCGUGCCAGCAGCCGCGGUAAUACGGAGGAUGCGAGCGUUAUCCGGAUUUAUUGGGUUUAAAGGGGGCGCAGGCGGAUUUUUAAACCACAGGUCAAAACGUUGGGCUCAACCCCAUCCAGCCGUUGAAACUGGGGACCUAGAGUGUGCGAGAGGUAUGCGGAAUGCGUGGU
This 346-nucleotide ribosomal RNA is filed under the name uncultured bacterium. RNAcentral's name for it is "bacterial SSU rRNA". It matches the Rfam family "Bacterial small subunit ribosomal RNA", at positions 330 to 674 of the family's 1533-position model. The record is from RNAcentral.